Castor canadensis (American beaver) is the source of this 862-nucleotide non-coding RNA. The record is from RefSeq and is a predicted model, not a curated record. Lineage: Eukaryota; Metazoa; Chordata; Mammalia; Rodentia; Castoridae.
GAGAGUGAGGAGGCUGCGUCUGGCUCCCGCUCUCACAGCCAUUGCAGUACAUUGAGCUCCAUAGAGACAGCGCCGGGGCAAGUGAGAGCCGGACGGGCACUGGGCGACUCUGUGCCUCGCUGAGGAAAAAAACUAAAGAUGGGCAAAGGAGAUCCUAAGAAGCCGAGAGGCAAGAUGUCAUCAUAUGCAUUCUUCGUGCAAACUUGCCGGGAGGAGCACAAGAAGAAGCACCCCGACGCUUCAGUCAACUUCUCAGAGUUUUCUAAGAAGUGUUCGGAGAGGUGGAAGACCAUGUCUGCUAAAGAGAAAGGGAAAUUUGAAGACAUGGCAAAGGCGGACAAGGCUCGUUAUGAAAGAGAAAUGAAAACUUAUAUUCCUCCUAAAGGGGAGACGAAAAAGAAGUUCAAAGAUCCCAAUGCACCCAAGAGGCCCCCUUCGGCUUUCUUCUUGUUCUGUUCUGAGUAUCGCCCCAAAAUCAAAGGUGAGCAUCCCGGCCUGUCCAUUGGCGAUGUUGCAAAGAAGCUGGGAGAGAUGUGGAACAACACUGCUGCAGACGACAAGCAGCCUUAUGAAAAGAAGGCAGCCAAGCUGAAGGAAAAGUAUGAAAAGGCUAUUGCUGCCUAUCGAGCUAAAGGAAAACCUGAUGCAGCGAAAAAGGGAGUUGUCAAGGCUGAAAAGAGCAAGAAAAAGAAGGAAGAGGAGGAAGAUGAGGAGGACGAAGAGGAUGAGGAAGAGGAGGAAGACGAAGAAGAUGAAGAUGAAGAAGAAGAUGAUGAUGAUGAAUAAGUUGGUUCUAGCGCAGUUUUUUCUUGUCUAUAAAGCAUUUAACCCCCCUGUACACAACUCACUCCUUUUAAAGAAA